Molecule: ribosomal RNA, 497 nt
Filed under: uncultured bacterium
Lineage: Bacteria
Description: partial 16S ribosomal RNA
Rfam family: Bacterial small subunit ribosomal RNA
Source: RNAcentral
GAUGAACGCUGGCGGCGUGCCUAAUACAUGCAAGUCGAGCGAACAAACGAAGCUCUUUCCCCUCUGACGUUAGCGGCGGGCGGGUGAGUAACACGUGGAUAACUUACCUAUAAGACUGCGAUCACUUCGGGGGACCGAAGCUAAUACCGGAUCUUAUAUUGAACCGCAUGGUUCCAUAGUGAAAGACGGUUUUGCUGUCCCUUAUAGAUGUAUCCGAGCCGCAUUAGUUAGUUGGUAAGGUAACGGCUUACCAAGGCCACGGUGCGUAGCCGACCUGAGAGGGACAUUCGCCACACGAGCACUGAGGCACGGGCCCGACUCCUACGGGAGGCCGCAGGAGGGAAUCUUCCGCAAGGGGGGAAAGGUUGAUGGAGCACAGUCGGCGGAGGGAUGAAGGUGCGCCGCUCGGUAAACUAUGUUAUGAUGGAAGAAAAAAUGUGUAAUUAACUAUGCACGGCUUGACGGUACCUAACAAAAAAGCCACGGCUAACUACGUG